RNAcentral lists this transfer RNA (69 nucleotides) under Ictidomys tridecemlineatus (thirteen-lined ground squirrel). RNAcentral describes it as "Spermophilus tridecemlineatus (thirteen-lined ground squirrel) tRNA". It matches the Rfam family "tRNA". Rfam says of the family: Transfer RNA (tRNA) molecules are approximately 80 nucleotides in length. Their secondary structure includes four short double-helical elements and three loops (D, anti-codon, and T loops). Further hydrogen bonds mediate the characteristic L-shaped molecular structure. tRNAs have two regions of fundamental functional importance: the anti-codon, which is responsible for specific mRNA codon recognition, and the 3' end, to which the tRNAs corresponding amino acid is attached (by aminoacyl-tRNA synthetases). tRNAs cope with the degeneracy of the genetic code in two manners: having more than one tRNA (with a specific anti-codon) for a particular amino acid; and 'wobble' base-pairing, i.e. permitting non-standard base-pairing at the 3rd anti-codon position. The record is from Rfam by way of RNAcentral. Lineage: Eukaryota; Metazoa; Chordata; Mammalia; Rodentia; Sciuridae.
GGGUUUGUAGCUCAAUGGUAGAGCACUUGUCUUACAUGCGUGAGGCACUGAGUUCAAUCCUCAGCACCA